GGGGGGGGGGGGGGGGGGGGGGGGGGGGGGCGGGGCGGGCGGGCGGGCGGGAAGCGUGCGUCGCUGGGGGUAGCGGCGGGCGGGUGAGUAACGCGUGGAUAACCUACCUGUCAGACUGGGGUAACUUCGGGAAGCCGUAGCUGAUACCGGAUAAUAUUUUGAACCGCAGGGUUCAACAGUGAAAGACGGUCUUGCUGUCACUUAUAGAUGGAUCCGCGCUGCAUUAGCUAGUUGGUAAGGUAACGGCUUACCAAGGCAACGAUGCAUAGCCGACCUGAGAGGGUGAUCGGCCACACUGGAACUGAGACACGGUCCAGACUCCUACGGGAGGCAGCAGUAGGGAAUCUUCCGCAAUGGGCGAAAGCCUGACGGAGCAACGCCGCGUGAGUGAUGAAGGUCUUCGGAUCGUAAAACUCUGUUAUUAGGGAAGAACAUAUGUGUAAGUAACUGUGCACAUCUUGACGGUACCUAAUCAGAAAGCCACGGCUAACUACGUG
This 497-nucleotide ribosomal RNA is filed under the name uncultured bacterium. RNAcentral describes it as "partial 16S ribosomal RNA". It matches the Rfam family "Bacterial small subunit ribosomal RNA", at positions 35 to 507 of the family's 1533-position model. The record is from RNAcentral.